CGUCAUUCGCACAUCUUGUUGGGGCCAGUUAUGACCUUGAGUGAUGUAGGUUGAGGAACUAUCAGAUGUAGGUUGAGGAACUAUCAGAUGUAGGUUGAGGAACUAUCAGAUGUAGGCUGAGGAACUAUCAGAUGUAGGCUGAGGAACUAUGAGAUGUAGGUUGAGGAACUAUCAGAUGUAGGUUGAGGAACUAUGAGAUGUAGGUUGAGGAACUAUCAGAUGUAGGUUGAGGAACUAUCAGAUGUAGGCUGAGGAACUAUGAGAUGUAGGUUGAGGAACUAUCAGAUGUAGGUAGAGGAACUAUGAGAUGUAGGUUGAGGAACUAUCAGAUGUAGGUUGAGGAACUAUCAGAUGUAGGCUGAGG
Molecule: long non-coding RNA, 364 nt
Organism: Ictalurus punctatus (channel catfish)
Lineage: Eukaryota; Metazoa; Chordata; Actinopteri; Siluriformes; Ictaluridae
Source: Ensembl